RNAcentral lists this ribosomal RNA (497 nucleotides) under uncultured bacterium. RNAcentral's name for it is "partial 16S ribosomal RNA". It matches the Rfam family "Bacterial small subunit ribosomal RNA", at positions 28 to 507 of the family's 1533-position model. The record is from RNAcentral.
GAUGAACGCUGGCGGCGUGCCUAAUACAUGCAAGUCGAGCGAACAGACGAGAAGCUUGCUCCUCUGAUGUUAGCGGCGGACGGGUGAGUAACACGUGGAUAACCUACCUAUAAGACUGGGAUAACUUCGGGAAACCGGAGCUAAUACCGGAUAAUAUGUUGAACCGCAUGGUUCAACAGUGAAAGACGGUCUUGCUGUCACUUAUAGAUGGAUCCGCGCUGCAUUAGCUAGUUGGUAAGGUAACGGCUUACCAAGGCAACGAUGCGUAGCCGACCUGAGAGGGUGAUCGGCCACACUGGAACUGAGACACGGUCCAGACUCCUACGGGAGGCAGCAGUAGGGAAUCUUCCGCAAUGGGCGAAAGCCUGACGGAGCAACGCCGCGUGAGUGAAGAAGGUCUUCGGAUCGUAAAACUCUGUUAUUAGGGAAGAACAAAUGUGUAAGUAACUGUGCACAUCUUGACGGUACCUAAUCAGAAAGCCACGGCUAACUACGUG